This 1156-nucleotide long non-coding RNA is filed under the name Sus scrofa (pig). RNAcentral describes it as "lncRNA (ENSSSCG00065015601.1)". The record is from RNAcentral. Lineage: Eukaryota; Metazoa; Chordata; Mammalia; Artiodactyla; Suidae.
ACUGUGAGCCCGGGCACAAAGAGCCCUCUGCACUGGCGCCGCAGGACCGAGGACCAGGACCCGAGGGUCACAGUUCCCAGGAUAGCGGUCAAGUCAGAGCUAUAGCCACUGGCCACAGCUACAGCAAGAAGGGAUCCGAGCAGUCUCUGCGACCUACAGCACAGCUCACAGAAUCCUUAACCCACUGAAUGAGGCCGGAGAUGGAACCCAUGUCCUCAUGGAUCCUAGUCGGCUUUGUUACCACUGAGCCACAAUGGGAACUCUGUCAGGCGGCAUGAAUUUGAGUCUUAGUUCUGUCACUUACCACUUCUGGGAUCUUGGGCAUGUCAUUCUGAACUUCUGUUUCCUCAUCUGCAAAAUGGGAAUGAUAAUACCAGCUUGCUGAGCCAUUGUGAGGACCACUAAGGCAGAUGCACUUAGCAAACCCUGUAAAAAGCCCCAGUGCCUUGCCCAGUUCCUGGAGAAGAAUGGAUAUUAAGGAAAUCAAGGUCAAAUGGUGAAGGAGUCUUUGUGGUCUUGAAGUCAGGGCCUGGGCACAUCACAGCAGUGACCUUGGGCAAGUCUCUUCCUUCUCGGAGCCCAUUUCUUGGUCUGUCAACUGGUGGUCUGCACUGGGACCCACAGAGAGGAUUUAGCGGCUGAUGGCUUCAAAGCCCUCUGUUAACCAAAGCUGUUUGCAAAAGCCCUAGGAGAAAUACCACCUCCCCCAACCUCCUCCCACAGAGAUCAGUGGUUCAGACCCUGGUGGGUGAACCCAAUGCUGGGUGGGUCCCCAGAUGCAAGGCUGUACCCCUCAUGUCUCCUCCUUCGCCAACAUCUGAGGUGAGGUGCUUGAUAAACAGUAGCACUGGCUACUGGGGAGCAUGGUCACAAAUUUGAACAUCCCAGAUGUAAUUCCUGAGUCUGGUCACCUGUGUCUUGCAGGCGGGAGGAAGGUGGACAGAUUUAGUGGUGGGAUGUGUGCCAGCUGCUUGGGAUCCUGUCAUCUUGCUUUAUGGGUGGGAGGUAUGAGGCCUGGUCCCAUGCAUCCAGCGCCUUUCUCCCCACUGUGCUUCAGAUGAGUUCCCCCCUUGGACCCCCAACUAAUUUAUCUUUAUUGUUUUUGUUUCUUAAUUAGAACAGAAUGCAAGAUUAUUAUUAAAAAAAUUUUUCCGGC